AGAGUUUGAUCCUGGCUCAGGAUGAACGCUAGCUACAGGCUUAACACAUGCAAGUCGAGGGGCAGCAUUGGAGUAGCAAUACUUCAGAUGGCGACCGGCGCACGGGUGAGUAACACGUAUCCAACCUGCCGCUUACUCGGGGAUAGCCUUUCGAAAGAAAGAUUAAUACCCGAUGGUAUAAAGAGUUCGCAUGUUCUCUUUAUUAAAGAAUUUCGGUAAGCGAUGGGGAUGCGUUCCAUUAGAUAGUUGGCGGGGUAACGGCCCACCAAGUCUACGAUGGAUAGGGGUUCUGAGAGGAAGGUCCCCCACAUUGGAACUGAGACACGGUCCAAACUCCUACGGGAGGCAGCAGUGAGGAAUAUUGGUCAAUGGACGAGAGUCUGAACCAGCCAAGUAGCGUGAAGGAUGACUGCCCUAUGGGUUGUAAACUUCUUUUAUAAGGGAAUAAAGUGAGGGACGUGUCCCUUUUUGUAUGUACCUUAUGAAUAAGGAUCGGCUAACUCCGUGCCAGCAGCCGCGGUAAUA
Molecule: ribosomal RNA, 525 nt
Filed under: uncultured bacterium
Lineage: Bacteria
Description: bacterial SSU rRNA
Rfam family: Bacterial small subunit ribosomal RNA
Source: RNAcentral